RNAcentral lists this ribosomal RNA (492 nucleotides) under uncultured bacterium. RNAcentral describes it as "partial 16S ribosomal RNA". It matches the Rfam family "Bacterial small subunit ribosomal RNA", at positions 29 to 507 of the family's 1533-position model. The record is from RNAcentral.
AGUGAACGCUGGCGGUAGGCCUAACACAUGCAAGUCGAACGGCAGCACAGUCAGAGCUUGCUCUUACGGGUGGCGAGUGGCGGACGGGUGAGGAAUACAUCGGCAUCUACUUUUUCGUGGGGGAUAACGUAGGGAAACUUACGCUAAUACCGCAUACGACGUACGGGUGAAAGCAGGGGAUCUUCGGACCUUGCGCGAUUGAAUGAGCCGAUGUCGGAUUAGCUAGUUGGCGGGGUAAAGGCCCACCAAGGCGACGCUCCGUUGCUGGGCUGAGAGGAUGAUCAGCCACACUGGAAAUGAGACACGGGCCAGACUCCUACGGGAGGCAGCAGUGGGGAAUAUUGGACAAUGGGGGCAAGCCUGAUCCAGCCAUGCCGCGUGGGUGAAGAAGGCCUUCGGGUUGUAAAGCCCUUUUGUUGGGAAAGAAAAGCAGCAGGUUAAUACCCCGCUGUUCUGACGGUACCCAAAGAAUAAGCACCGGCUAACUUCGUG